This 2936-nucleotide ribosomal RNA is filed under the name Yersinia kristensenii. RNAcentral's name for it is "23S ribosomal RNA". It matches the Rfam family "Bacterial large subunit ribosomal RNA". Lineage: Bacteria; Pseudomonadati; Pseudomonadota; Gammaproteobacteria; Enterobacterales; Yersiniaceae. The record is from RNAcentral.
GGGUUGUGAGGUUAAGCGACUAAGCGUACACGGUGGAUGCCUAGGCAGUCAGAGGCGAUGAAGGGCGUGCUAAUCUGCGAAAAGCGUCGGUAAGGUGAUAUGAACCGUUACAACCGACGAUACCCGAAUGGGGAAACCCAGUGCAAUUCGUUGCACUAUUGCAUGGUGAAUACAUAGCCAUGCAAGGCGAACCGGGGGAACUGAAACAUCUAAGUACCCCGAGGAAAAGAAAUCAACCGAGAUUCCCCUAGUAGCGGCGAGCGAACGGGGAGGAGCCCAGAGUCUGAAUCAGUUUGUGUGUUAGUGGAAGCGUCUGGAAAGUCGCACGGUACAGGGUGAUAGUCCCGUACACAAAAACACACUUGCUGUGAACUCGAUGAGUAGGGCGGGACACGUGACAUCCUGUCUGAAUAUGGGGGGACCAUCCUCCAAGGCUAAAUACUCCUGACUGACCGAUAGUGAACCAGUACCGUGAGGGAAAGGCGAAAAGAACCCCGGCGAGGGGAGUGAAAUAGAACCUGAAACCGUGUACGUACAAGCAGUGGGAGCACCUUCGUGGUGUGACUGCGUACCUUUUGUAUAAUGGGUCAGCGACUUAUAUUUUGUAGCAAGGUUAACCGAAUAGGGGAGCCGUAGGGAAACCGAGUCUUAACUGGGCGUCUAGUUGCAAGGUAUAGACCCGAAACCCGGUGAUCUAGCCAUGGGCAGGUUGAAGGUUGGGUAACACUAACUGGAGGACCGAACCGACUAAUGUUGAAAAAUUAGCGGAUGACUUGUGGCUGGGGGUGAAAGGCCAAUCAAACCGGGAGAUAGCUGGUUCUCCCCGAAAGCUAUUUAGGUAGCGCCUCGUGAACUCAUCUUCGGGGGUAGAGCACUGUUUCGGCUAGGGGGCCAUCCCGGCUUACCAAACCGAUGCAAACUCCGAAUACCGAAGAAUGUUAUCACGGGAGACACACGGCGGGUGCUAACGUCCGUCGUGAAGAGGGAAACAACCCAGACCGCCAGCUAAGGUCCCAAAGUCAUGGUUAAGUGGGAAACGAUGUGGGAAGGCAUAGACAGCCAGGAUGUUGGCUUAGAAGCAGCCAUCAUUUAAAGAAAGCGUAAUAGCUCACUGGUCGAGUCGGCCUGCGCGGAAGAUGUAACGGGGCUAAACCAUGCACCGAAGCUGCGGCAGCGACACUUAGGUGUUGUUGGGUAGGGGAGCGUUCUGUAAGCCGUUGAAGGUGACCUGUGAGGGUUGCUGGAGGUAUCAGAAGUGCGAAUGCUGACAUAAGUAACGAUAAUGCGGGUGAAAAACCCGCACGCCGGAAGACCAAGGGUUCCUGUCCAACGUUAAUCGGGGCAGGGUGAGUCGACCCCUAAGGCGAGGCUGAAAAGCGUAGUCGAUGGGAAACAGGUUAAUAUUCCUGUACUUGGUGUUACUGCGAAGGGGGGACGGAGAAGGCUAGGCUAGCCGGGCGACGGUUGUCCCGGUUUAAGCAUGUAGGCGGAGUGACUUGGUAAAUCCGGUUGCUUAUCAACGCUGAGGUGUGAUGACGAGCCACUACGGUGGUGAAGUAGUUGAUGCCAAGCUUCCAGGAAAAGCCUCUAAGCAUCAGGUAACAUUAAAUCGUACCCCAAACCGACACAGGUGGUCAGGUAGAGAAUACUCAGGCGCUUGAGAGAACUCGGGUGAAGGAACUAGGCAAAAUGGUGCCGUAACUUCGGGAGAAGGCACGCUGGCAUUAGGUAAAGAGACUUGCUCUCGGAGCUGAAGCCAGUCGCAGAUACCAGCUGGCUGCAACUGUUUAAUAAAAACACAGCACUGUGCAAACACGAAAGUGGACGUAUACGGUGUGACGCCUGCCCGGUGCUGGAAGGUUAAUUGAUGGGGUCAGCCGCAAGGCGAAGCUCUUGAUCGAAGCCCCAGUAAACGGCGGCCGUAACUAUAACGGUCCUAAGGUAGCGAAAUUCCUUGUCGGGUAAGUUCCGACCUGCACGAAUGGCGUAAUGAUGGCCAGGCUGUCUCCACCCGAGACUCAGUGAAAUUGAACUCGCUGUGAAGAUGCAGUGUACCCGCGGCAAGACGGAAAGACCCCGUGAACCUUUACUAUAGCUUGACACUGAACAUUGAGCCUUGAUGUGUAGGAUAGGUGGGAGGCAUUGAAGUGUGGACGCCAGUCUGCAUGGAGCCAACCUUGAAAUACCACCCUUUAAUGUUUGAUGUUCUAACUCGGCCCCGUAAUCCGGGGUGAGGACAGUGUCUGGUGGGUAGUUUGACUGGGGCGGUCUCCUCCCAAAGAGUAACGGAGGAGCACGAAGGUUAGCUAAUCACGGUCGGACAUCGUGAGGUUAGUGCAAAGGCAUAAGCUAGCUUGACUGCGAGAGUGACGGCUCGAGCAGGUACGAAAGUAGGUCUUAGUGAUCCGGUGGUUCUGAAUGGAAGGGCCAUCGCUCAACGGAUAAAAGGUACUCCGGGGAUAACAGGCUGAUACCGCCCAAGAGUUCAUAUCGACGGCGGUGUUUGGCACCUCGAUGUCGGCUCAUCACAUCCUGGGGCUGAAGUAGGUCCCAAGGGUAUGGCUGUUCGCCAUUUAAAGUGGUACGCGAGCUGGGUUUAGAACGUCGUGAGACAGUUCGGUCCCUAUCUGCCGUGGGCGUUGGAAGAUUGAGAGGGGCUGCUCCUAGUACGAGAGGACCGGAGUGGACGAAUCACUGGUGUUCGGGUUGUCAUGCCAAUGGCAUUGCCCGGUAGCUAAAUUCGGAAGAGAUAACCGCUGAAAGCAUCUAAGCGGGAAACUUGCCUCGAGAUGAGUCUUCCCUGGGGCUUUAAGCCCCCUGAAGGAACGUUAAAGACUAUGACGUUGAUAGGCUGGGUGUGUAAGUGCAGCGAUGCAUUGAGCUAACCAGUACUAAUGAUCCGUGAGGCUUAACCUUACAACACCAAAGGUGUUUUG